GAUGAACGCUGGCGGCGUGCCUAAUACAUGCAAGUCGAGCGAACAGAUGAGGAGCUUGCUCCUCUGACGUUAGCGGCGGACGGGUGAGUAACACGUGGAUAACCUACCUAUAAGACUGGGAUAACUUCGGGAAUCCGGAGCUAAUACCGGAUAAUAUAUUGAACCGCAUGGUUCAAUAGUGAAAGACGGUUUUGCUGUCACUUAUAGAUGGAUCCGCGCCGCAUUAGCUAGUUGGUAAGGUAACGGCUUACCAAGGCAACGAUGCGUAGCCGACCUGAGAGGGUGAUCGGCCACACUGGAACUGAGACACGGUCCAGACUCCUACGGGAGGCAGCAGUAGGGAAUCUUCCGCAAUGGGCGAAAGCUUGACGGAGCAACGCCGCGUGAGUGAUGAAGGUCUUCGGAUCGUAAAACUCUGUUAUUAGGGAAGAACAAAUGUGUAAGUAACUAUGCACGUCUUGACGGUACCUAAUCAGAAAGCCACGGCUAACUACGUG
RNAcentral lists this ribosomal RNA (497 nucleotides) under uncultured bacterium. RNAcentral's name for it is "partial 16S ribosomal RNA". It matches the Rfam family "Bacterial small subunit ribosomal RNA", at positions 28 to 507 of the family's 1533-position model. The record is from RNAcentral.